UUAUUGGGAUCAAGGGUGGUAAUUACAGGGUGGAAAAACGAACGGAAAAAUAACAGAGAGAAACUUUUCCACCCUCGAUCCCGAACUUCGUCACAUUCAUCAUUGUUCUUGCCAACCGACCUUCUUUCCCUUUCUUCGAUUUCUUUUUCGGGGGAGGCCACCUCGUAAAUUCGAAAACGCGGCGAAGAUUCCUCGCGAUGACACACUUAACCGUCGUUCCCGCGCAAAAAACUGCGACCGGGAUCUCGGUGGAAAUCCUGCUUCAACUUCCAUAUACACACGGAGAGAGAGAAGAGAGAGAGAGAGAGAGAGAGAGAAGGCGAUAUAUACACGCUGAAAACAAAAGGGAUGAAAUAUUUCUUGGCGCGGAAAGUUGAGGAAAAUUCUUCUCGUCAGAAAGAGAGAGGGAAGAGAAAGAAAUC
Long non-coding RNA from Apis florea (little honeybee), 422 nucleotides. The record is from RefSeq and is a predicted model, not a curated record. NCBI's taxonomy places the organism in Eukaryota, Metazoa, Arthropoda, Insecta, Hymenoptera, Apidae.